This 253-nucleotide ribosomal RNA is filed under the name uncultured bacterium. RNAcentral's name for it is "partial 16S ribosomal RNA". It matches the Rfam family "Bacterial small subunit ribosomal RNA", at positions 524 to 776 of the family's 1533-position model. The record is from RNAcentral.
UACGUAGGGUGCGAGCGUUAAUCGGAAUUACUGGGCGUAAAGCGUGCGCAGGCGGUUUUGUAAGCCAGUUGUGAAAACCCCGGGCUUAACCUGGGAAUGGCAUUUGGGACUGCAAGGCUGGAGUUUGGCAGAGGAGACUGGAAUUCCCGGUGUAGCAGUGAAAUGCGUAGAUAUCGGGAGGAAUACCGAUGGCGAAGGCAGGUCUCUGGGCUAUAACUGACGCUCAUGCACGAAAGCGUGGGGAGCAAACAGG